This 2191-nucleotide long non-coding RNA is filed under the name Lactuca sativa (garden lettuce). RNAcentral describes it as "long non-coding RNA (LSAT_LNC001489)". The record is from RNAcentral. Lineage: Eukaryota; Viridiplantae; Streptophyta; Magnoliopsida; Asterales; Asteraceae.
CCGGAAGGCAAUAUGUUAUGGGCCGGAAGGCGAUAUGUUGUGUGAUGGACCGGAAGGUCGGCGUGGGUAGGACCGGAAGGUUUACCCAGCAGGGACGGAAGUCCCCUGAGACACAUGGACCGAAAGGUCAGGGCCUGGAAAGGCGUAUGUGCGUAAGUUGUAUAUUGGGGAACUCACUAAGCAUUUAUGCUUACAGUUGUUAUGUAUGUGUUUCAGGUACUAGCGAGGACCGUGGGAAGGUGCCGACGUGAUCUGUACACACUAAAGGAUGUUUGUGAUCUUGGGAUUUAGAUGACUUGUAUUUUUGACAUGACACUUGAAAUGUUUAUGCCUUGUUUUGAAUUAAAAUAACUUAUUAUGAAAUGAAAAAUUUGUUUGAAAAUUUACGGUGUUACAUGUGCUUUCCGUCUCAUUUCCUGUUCCUUGUUUGGUUGUGGGAUUAGGGCAGAUUUACACAAUUAACUAUUCGUUCGAUAUUAGUUAAGAUAUAGCUAGUAUAAAUUAAGUGAAUAUAGAAGGAACUAUUGUGGUUACUAUUUUUACUAAAUGAAAUAUAUGAUUUUCUUAAGGAAUGUUUUCAUCAAAUAUAAAGAACUAUUACAGUUAAUUCCGUAAGUGCCAAAUGAAUCCACCAGGGUUAUAUACAGUGAAGAUCUAACAAACACUGGGAUGUGUGAUUUCCGCCACAUUCGCUGUUCCUUGUUUGGUUGUGGGCUUAGGGCAGCUUCACCCAAUCGAUUGUUUGUUUACUGUAAAUUAUAUAUAACUUGUAUCCAUUUAGUACUCAUAGAAGGAAUUGUAGAGUCAUUUUUACUUUCAAUCAUCAUAUCAGAAGAUAUAGGAUUUUCUGAAGGAAUAGGCGAACUUUUCUAAAAAGAACUUUUAGUUUACUUUACAUCACUAAAAUACUUGCCUCUCUACUUUUUACUCUGUGUUAAGCAUACCGAGACCACCCCGUCGCCCUGGUUAAGCAUACCGAGACCACCCCGCGUGAAGCUCAUUUAUUCACUAGAAACCCGUGGUUACGUCAAGAAAGAUCAUUCCUAGAAACGAAACGCUACCCAAUUCACUCUUACCAAGUGAGUUCAUACCCCUAACUUAUCUUUUAAAUGAUUUUAAAUGCUUUUAUGGAGGGGGGAUACAAGUAGAAAACCAUAUAGUCGUAUAAUCAAUCACAUGUGAUUUAUAACUAUCGAAACAAAAGAUUUCUUAUACAUGAGUCACUUCAGAACAUACUAUUAUGAGAAACAGGGAGGAACAUACUAUACAUUACAACAGAAGGAACAUACGAUAGAAAGAAUAAGAUAGCAAUAAUGUGAAACCACUACUUCACGACUUAGAAAUAUACUUGUUAGGUUGCGUUUUAUAACCAGAGUCUCCUGGAGGGAGAGCAUGAGUUUAUGUAUAGAUCUAUACGGGAUUGACACCCUACACCUUGCUGCUAGCUACAGUGGGACUUACAGGUCUACGGGUGACAAACAUCACAUCAGUUUCGGCACAAGUAGGUCGUCGUGUUAAACACGUGUCAUAUCAGUAUGGUUACAACCACAUCACAUUUUUAACCUUAAUUAACAAACUAGUUUUAAGGUAGUAAUUGCUUCAGUAAUUACUUGAGAGAACUUACAUAAUUACAAAAGACAAACAGUACGGUCGAGUCUUAGUACAUUCAGUAAAAAGGGGGCAUACAAUGCUAACUUUAAUGAUUCCUCGGUAGAUACAUUAGGGAUAUAUAUAUAGUCGGGUCCAGUCGACAGUAGGAUGUGUGUUUUCCGCUUCAUUCUCUGUUCCUUGUUUGGUUGUGGGCUUACAGCAGAUGCACCCAAUUUACUAUCUAUUCGAUCUUAUAUAUAUAUAUAUAUAUAUAUANGGAAGGCGAUAUGUUGUGUGAUGGACCGGAAGGUCGGCGUGGGUAGGACCGGAAGGUUUACCCAGCAGGGACGGAAGUCCCCUGAGACACAUGGACCGGAAGGUCAGGGCCUGGAAAGGCGUAUGUGCGUAAGUUGUAUAUUGGGGAACUCACUAAGCAUUUAUGCUUACAGUUGUUAUGUAUGUGUUUCAGGUACUAGCGAGGACCGUGGGAAGGUGCCGACGUGAUCUGUACACACUAAAGGAUGUUUGUGAUCUUGGGAUUUAGAUGACUUGUAUUUUUGACAUGACACUUGAAAUGUUUAUGCCUUGUUUUGAAUGAAAA